This is a long non-coding RNA of Thunnus maccoyii (southern bluefin tuna), 3817 nucleotides long. RefSeq lists it as uncharacterized. The record is from RefSeq and is a predicted model, not a curated record. The transcript is spliced from 6 exons. NCBI's taxonomy places the organism in Eukaryota, Metazoa, Chordata, Actinopteri, Scombriformes, Scombridae.
AUCAGAAAAGAAGAAUUUUCUUUCUUUCUCUCUGUUCUUAUAGUUCAACACCUUUUUAAAAUAAUGUAAAAUAGAGACCGAACAUCUGUACAAGCAUUCAGGUUUAAGUUAACUGGAAAAGAAGAGGACGAAUUCAACAUGUCGUCAUGGUUACGUCGGAAAGUACGCACGCAACUAUUCUUGAGCUUGACUCUGGCAACAGCUACACCAUUGGUCGGUGUGACCAACUGCCGAUUGAACGGUAAAAUAGGAGGCAGCCAAUGCAAACUGGUUUGAUGUAGAGACAGGUCCGUACAUCAGUUUGGGUGAACUCAAACCUGCAACAUAUCAUCAAGUGAGGCCAGCAGUGUAGCUUCAUUCAGCCGUGAAGACAUUUGGCGGUGAGGAGGAGUAGACCAGCUGAAGGUGGUAUCCCUUGACACAGAGGGACCCCAGGGAGAUAUUCAGGGGACCAGAGCAGGCUCGAGGGCCUAAGCUGUGCCCAUUCAAAAACUGCUUGGACGGUGAUGGAUACCUUGCCCCAGGGAGAAUGGCCAGGAGAGCACUUAACCGCCGGUGGAGCAGCAAGGGGAAGGCUGAUAGUUAGCUGGAUAACUGCAUACUGUAUGAGAUGAGCUGCAGUGCUCCGUCACAAUGCCUGGACGACAUAAUGGAUGGAAAUAUGCCGGAAAGAACAGGAAGCCGUUAGCAAUCCCUCGCCGCCCAAAGUAAAUUCAAUCACACUCACAGAGAAAGACAAUAUGCUUGUGUAAAGCCCCACGAAUAUACGGCAGAUGAAUAAUGAAUUUUGUCUGUGUUUGGAUGAAGUGUUUUGAUUUGCUAACAUUCUCUUGUAUGUCUAUAAUAAAAAUCCUGUUCUAUCAAAGUGUAUGUGUUUACUGCAAUGUCGGUACGCUGUCACAAUCUGAAACAGCCACUAGGCCAAUGUUUCACGCUGGUAGGCAGCUUUUGAAUGCGUAUAAGAGUUUGGUUAUGGCAGUUUAAGGGUCCAUAAAGACUUCAAACAGGUACAAAGUAAAUACGUUCACUGUACACCACCAUCAUUGUGUUGUGUGUGUAUUGUUCAAACUAGAGGGCACUGCAGCAGCCCCCACUGAGAUGCGUGCUUCCACCAUUCCCCUUACCUUGAAGGCGCAACUCCGGUCUGCACACUUGCACAAACGCGCACACGCACUAUCGAAGAUGUUUUGAUGUCAGUUUCUUCUUCUAUUUUUCCUUUUUCCCUCAUCCCAAUAUAUAUCUUACUCUGAUAUUCUCCCUCUCCUCUCCCCUUGUCUUUCUUUUGUCUCCUCCUCUCUCUCUCAGCCUCUCCCUUUCUCUCUAUCUGUAUUUCUUUGGCUUUGGUGGUUACAGGGCUCAGUGAUGCCACUGUACUUCUCAGUGAGCCAUUUGAUCAUUAAUUUAUCACAGUUCCAGCAGUUUGUUUGACAGGUGCAAGUGCUUUCAUCUUACUAGUGCUAGGCAUUGCCGAAUGAACAAGGUAACCCAGACCUAUAUGUUGAGUAAGCAGGUGAGCUUGGAGUUGAACCAACUAGUGGGUCUGUCCGCAGAAUGAGCAAGUGUGCCAGCAUGGGCCUACUUGUUAACUGGACAAGUGAGAUAGCCUGUAAAUAGAGUCAAAUUGUGAGGGGGGCGUCCUUCAAGUGCUGGUUCCUCGCUCACUCUCUGUCAGACCCCUUAGAACCCCUAAAUGUCUCCAAUUCAAUACUGGGAUUAGGUGCAGACAGGACAUAGAGAUAUACUCCCACUAUUGUAGCAUCUGUACUUCCUGAAGAGGCCCUACUCAACACUCUAGUGACCCAUUACAGCAGUUCUAAGUAGGGCCGCUACAGGCCGAGUUGCUCACUGCUACACCCUGGUCCGAAUGAACUUCAUCACCAAGUACCUAAAGGCGUGGUUGGUGUUUGGUGUUUAAACCAGCGCAGAAUGUCUAGUGGAGGUGCUGUUGUGCCAUUUCAAGGUCCCUAAAGAUAUUCUCGUCUGCUGAUGACUAGUUUUUCAUAAAACCUCUACCUGUGGGUAGACUUAAAAUUAAUAGAUUGACAUUUUGGGAAAUAUUCUUAUUUGUUUAGCUUAGCGUUAAUGCUACAAGCAGGAGAAAACACUUUGCUGUGUUCAAACAUCACAUAACCCACCUAGCAGCACCUCUAAAAGCUCAUUAAUUAACAUGUUAUAUCUAUGAGGUUGCCAGAGCAUAGACACCAGGUCACUCUGUGCUUUAAGGUGUUAUUAUAUGAAGAAUAAAAUCUGCAUCUUUGCAGUAUUAGUUUAAGGCUGAGGCUAAUUUUAAAGUAUGAUUGUUGAAUGGCUGGUUGUUGUUAAAGUUGGUGAAUGCGUGGAGAAUGUCAGCAUGUCGUCUCUGAAUGGACCAACACACCUCUUUUGGGCAGGAUUUGGAUAAUACACCCCCUUGACCCUUCAUCGUGUCUUUCUGUCCUCCUACUCUCACUCUCACUCCAGCUGCAGAUCAUUAAAAAUAACCCCUCUCCUCUCCAAUAUUCAGUAUUUCCUCUGCUUUCUUAACUCACCACCAGCUCUAUUAUUAAAGCAUUCUUUUCAUUCAGAUGCUUUGAAUAACAUUGUUUAUCUAUUAUUUAUGUAAGUAUGGUGCGUACUGGAUGCUCUGAAAAACCUGGAAGCUUAAGGCCUCAGAGGAGACCAAUGUUGGCUCUCCCCUAAGAGCCGUUCACACCUUUCUUCUUCAUCCGGUCCUCGAGCUUCAAAUCUGUUUGAAUUCCUUUCAUGCAAAGAUUUAUCUACUGGUCAAGAGUGGACCUCAUUGCCAGAGCAGUUUGCAGUACACUACAGUGUGGGAACGGUUACUGUAUAAGAAACCCAUACAUUUUCCCUCUUUUAUUCUUCCUAGUAAUUCUCUCGUUCUCCUAUGUUUUCUCUCCAACCUCUUUUCCCUGCAUCCCCAGAAUCAAGGCCUGUUGGGGCAUUUUUAAGACAGAGGCUUCCUGAACUAUUUUGGUAUCAAAGCUUUGAGGCAGCAAGAGGCAUGCUCUCUGAAGUUGACAUGUAAGGAGAGGAGGGCCUUCCUCUCUCACUGGUUUGUUGGGGGCAGUGGGAGGGGGGGGAGUGGGGGCACUCAGUAGCCCUGCCAGGAGCGAUCCCUACUGGGGAUAUGAGCCUCAACCGCUGCCCUUCAAGCCCAGACCUUCCCCAGCCACUAGGGAAGCGUACGUUUCAUAUGUUUGGUGCCCGGUUGACUAUGUAUGAUGUUGGGGUUGGUGCGGGUCUUGGUACAAGCAUGCAUUUAUGUGUUUGUGUGUUUACAUUAAGGAUGCAGCACAGUUUUGGUAGUGCUCUUUAGUGUUGUAACACAGUGCAAUUGUUUCCCCCUAUUUAAAAGUGCUGACAAAAAUAAAGCAUAAUAAAGAAGCUUCAUACGUGGGCGGCCCCAAAUGGCAGCAAGAUGUGAGAUGUUAUCACUUUUAUUUUCUUGGAUUUCAAAAUCUCAAAACAUGCACUGAUGUUUUUUAAUGUGACUGCGAUGAAAUACACAGUCUACAUUUGUUUUUGUAGAAGACGAUGGUUUGGAUGUAGUGCUAUGAACUCCUAAUCAGUAAACAGUUUUGUUUUUGAGUUUAAUCUAUCACUUCUGUGUGUGAACAAGACAGUAGAAAUUAAUUUGGGCAAAUAGAAUGAAUUACAGUCUCUCAGAUGAUUUCAUGUGAAUUUGGACCCUGUGCAGCUCCAUUUUUAGGACGAUUAGAUGUAUUUUUACAUAAAAAUUUUGCCUGCAGCUUUAAUGUGAAUUUAACCAGCUCCAGCCCUGCGUGGUAGACUGUUGUCCAGAUGACCUCUUCUUUUU